GUCACUCGGUGUUCUCACCGAAAGCACGUAAUCGCCGGUGUAACUCAUGUUGGCUGGGGGGCCUCCCGGCGCGCGGCGAGGCUGGGUGCUACCCCG
Bos indicus x Bos taurus (hybrid cattle) is the source of this 96-nucleotide unclassified non-coding RNA. Lineage: Eukaryota; Metazoa; Chordata; Mammalia; Artiodactyla; Bovidae. The record is from Ensembl.